UUUGUACUCCCUCCAUCCAGAAAUACUUGUUAUUUUAAUGGAUGUAUCUAGAUGUAUUUUAGUUCUAGACACAUCCAUUUUGAUGACAAGUAAUUUCGGACGGAGGGAGUACUUG
Molecule: non-coding RNA, 115 nt
Organism: Triticum aestivum (bread wheat)
Lineage: Eukaryota; Viridiplantae; Streptophyta; Magnoliopsida; Poales; Poaceae
Source: Rfam